GAUGAACGCUGGCGGCGUGCCUAAUACAUGCAAGUCGAGCGAACGGACGAGAAGCUUGCUUCUCUGAUGUUAGCGGCGGACGGGUGAGUAAUACGUGGAUAACCUACCUAUAAGACUGGGAUAACUUCGGGAAACCGGAGCUAAUACCGGAUAAUAUUUUGAACCGCAUGGUUCAAAAGUGAAAGACGGUCUUGCUGUCACUUAUAGAUGGAUCCGCGCUGCAUUAGCUAGUUGGUAAGGUAACGGCUUACCAAGGCAACGAUGCAUAGCCGACCUGAGAGGGUGAUCGGCCACACUGGAACUGAGACACGGUCCAGACUCCUACGGGAGGCAGCAGUAGGGAAUCUUCCGCAAUGGGCGAAAGCCUGACGGAGCAACGCCGCGUGAGUGAUGAAGGUCUUCGGAUCGAAAAACUCUGUUAUUAGGGAAGAACAUAUGUGUAAGUAACUGUGCACAUCUUGACGGUACCUAAUCAGAAAGCCACGGCUAACUACGUG
This 497-nucleotide ribosomal RNA is filed under the name uncultured bacterium. Its description in RNAcentral is "partial 16S ribosomal RNA". It matches the Rfam family "Bacterial small subunit ribosomal RNA", at positions 28 to 507 of the family's 1533-position model. The record is from RNAcentral.